UACGUAGGGGGUUAGCGUUGUCCGGAUUUACUGGGUGUAAAGGGCGCGUAGGCGGAUUUGCAAGUCAGAGGUGAAAUCCUACAGCUUAACUGUAGAACUGCCUUUGAUACUACAAAUCUUGAGUUCAGAAGAGAGAGAUGGAAUUCCAGGUGUAGUGGUGAAAUACGUAGAUAUCUGGAAGAACACCAGUGGCGAAGGCGAUCUUUUGGUCUGACACUGACGCUGAGGCGCGAAAGCGUGGGUAGCAAAC
RNAcentral lists this ribosomal RNA (250 nucleotides) under uncultured bacterium. RNAcentral's name for it is "partial 16S ribosomal RNA". It matches the Rfam family "Bacterial small subunit ribosomal RNA", at positions 524 to 773 of the family's 1533-position model. The record is from RNAcentral.